RNAcentral lists this long non-coding RNA (550 nucleotides) under Pongo abelii (Sumatran orangutan). RNAcentral's name for it is "lincRNA". The record is from RNAcentral. Lineage: Eukaryota; Metazoa; Chordata; Mammalia; Primates; Hominidae.
AGCUAGCCUUCAGAUUUGUCUGCUAACAGUAAAAAUACUAUAAUAAAUCGGUAACAUAUGUUGCCAGGCAAGGAAAAGUGAUAUAAAUAAAGAGACUGGGAGACCCAAACCAAAUUGCAUUCUUACCCAAAUACUCUUCGUGAUUGCCUGCUUUGCGGUUUUGGGCCGAUGCAAGCUGCAAAAUGGUGAGUCUUCUAAGGUGCCUUUCCUUCCCUGGGAUCCUCAUCUUAGAAUGAGCAGAGGCACAUCGAUAAGAACUGGACCUUGAUUUCACAACCUCAUACAAAGCCAGGCAAUUCUUGAGCCAAACAAACAAAGGGGGUGUAAGCGAUUUCAUUUAUUUUGAUAAUCCUCCUCUUGCACGGGAGCAUUUUGCUGUCUUUGUCAAAGUGAAUGACAACAAUUUGGCCAACUCUCUCUGAGCUGCACUCAACAGUGACAGGCAAAUUAUCAGAGGCCCUGCACUUCUUAUUAUCAGAGGAGAAGCCAUCAGGGGGACGCAUGGAGGAUACCUCUCCCUUGUCACUAUUUGUCAGUGGGACAAGGGCCA